CUGUUUUCAUAUACUUCCUUUUCUUUUCAGUGACAGAGACAUACUCAGGAAGGCUGGACCCAUGGAGGCUGCCCACCUUCUUCAUUGAUUUCUACUUGAUUGAUUCCUUCUUGAUUGAUUUCCAGGAUCUCUGAAACGAGAAGCCCUCCCCUUUAUAUGUUUAAUCAGAUAUUGCAAAGUGGACCUGAGAACGAGCCCGUCGGCAGCAGAUUAUGAAGUGGCCUAUGUUUUGAAUAUGCUGAACUGCUUUGGUUUGUGACUGGGGAAGAUUAAAGGCCUACAACAAAAAUGAGUGCUGGAUAUUGCUGACAAGAGAGGCUUCCUGUAAUUUCUCAGGCCAUAAGUAUUUAACUGUCUUUAUUUCUAGAGAGAGAAGUCUCUGUCUGAGAUUCAGGAAUGGCAGAAAAGAUAUUUGGUAUGGCAGUUGCUGCUAUGUAGCCCGUGAAACGGAGGAUUCUUUUUGACAACAGUGUCCCCAGAUGUCCCCUUGCAAAAUGGCUGACGUCAGAAAGUACACACGCUUCAUAAAAUGGGUCCCUCUCCUGGAAGAUUGCUUGUUGACCAGUCGACUUUGACAAGCCCAUGGUUGGCUAACCUUAAAAGGAUGACCGUUGUUAAGAGGAAAGGAGGGAAAAGAAUGGAAACAGGAGAGACUCUGCAGUGGAUAUGAUGUAAAUUCUUUGAAAUGUGAUGGAAAAAGGCCAGGGGGAAGAGAAAAUGAUAAUACACUGGAAAGAAAUCCCAGCUUUAAUUGUUUUCAUGUAUAUACGUAAUAAAAAGGUUAAAGG
RNAcentral lists this long non-coding RNA (788 nucleotides) under Pan paniscus (pygmy chimpanzee). RNAcentral's name for it is "lncRNA (ENSPPAG00000045595.1)". Lineage: Eukaryota; Metazoa; Chordata; Mammalia; Primates; Hominidae. The record is from RNAcentral.